UUCGCCCUUAGAGUUUGCUUUUGGCUCAGGACGAACGCUGGCGGCGUGCUUAAUACAUGCAAGUCGAACGGAGGCAGAGACUUCGGUUUCUGUCUUAGUGGCGAACGGGUGAGUAACGCGUGAAUAACCUGACUCAAAGAGGGGGAUAACAAUCGGAAACGAUUGCUAAUACCGCAUAAGACCACAACACCGCAUGAUGAAGGGGUCAAAGAGAUAUCGCUUUGAGAGGGGUUCGCGUCCCAUUAGGUAGUUGGAGGGGUAACGGCCCACCAAGCCAACGAUGGGUAGCCGAGCUGAGAGGCUGAUCGGCCACACUGGAACUGAGACACGGUCCAGACUCCUACGGGAGGCAGCAGUAGGGAAUAUUGGGCAAUGGGCGCAAGCCUGACCCAGCAACGCCGCGUGAGGGAAGAAGGUUUUCGGAUUGUAAACCUCUGUCCUAUGUGACGAAGGAAGUGACGGUAGCAUAGGAGGAAGCCCCGGCUAACUACGUGCCAGCAGCCGCGGUAAUACGUAGGGGGCGAGCGUUGUCCGGAAUUACUGGGCGUAAAGGGUGCGUAGGCGGUUUGGUAAGUUGGAUGUGAAAUACCCGGGCUUAACUUGGGGGCUGCAUCCAAUACUGCUGAACUUGAGUGCAGGAGAGGAAAGCAGAAUUCCGAGUGUAGCGGUGAAAUGCGUAGAGAUUCGGAGGAACACCAGUGGCGAAGGCGGCCUACUGGGCUCUAACUGACGCUGAGGCUCGAAAGUGUGGGGAGCAAACAGAAGUAGAUACCCUGGUAGUCCACACUGUAAACGAUGAUUGCUAGGUGUGGGGGGUUCUACCCCCCUCCGUGCCGGAGCUAACGCAAUAAGCAAUCCACCUGGGGAGUACGGCCGCAAGGCUGAAACUCAAAGGAAUUGACGGGGGCCCGCACAAGCAGUGGAUUAUGUGGUUUAAUUCGAAGCAACGCGAAGAACCUUACCAGGUCUUGACAUCCGACUAACGAGGCAGAGAUGCGUCAGGUGCCCUUCGGGGAAAGUCGAGACAGGUGGUGCAUGGUUGUCGUCAGCUCGUGUCGUGAGAUGUUGGGUUAAGUCCCGCAACGAGCGCAACCCCUGCCAUUAGUUGCUACGCAAGAGCACUCUAAUGGGACCGCUACCGACAAGGUGGAGGAAGGUGGGGACGACGUCAAAUCAUCAUGCCCCUUAUGACCUGGGUUACACACGUAAUACAAUGGCCGUUAACAGAGGGUAGCGAAGGCGCGAGCCGGAGCAAAUCCCCAAAAACGGUCUCAGUUCGGAUCGCAGGCUGCAACUCGCCUGCGUGAAGUCGGAAUUGCUAGUAAUCGCGGAUCAGCACGCCGCGGUGAAUAAAAUCCCGGGCCUUGUACUCACCGCC
RNAcentral lists this ribosomal RNA (1378 nucleotides) under uncultured bacterium. RNAcentral describes it as "16S ribosomal RNA". It matches the Rfam family "Bacterial small subunit ribosomal RNA". The record is from RNAcentral.